CAAAUACUCCCUCCGUCCUAAAAUUUUUGUCUUAUAUUUGUUUAGAUACGAAUGUAUCUAGUCAAAUUUUAUUAUUUAGAUACAUUCAUUUCUAGACAAAGCUAAAACAAUAAUUUUGGAAUGAAGGGAGUAUAAA
Hordeum vulgare subsp. vulgare (domesticated barley) is the source of this 136-nucleotide non-coding RNA. Lineage: Eukaryota; Viridiplantae; Streptophyta; Magnoliopsida; Poales; Poaceae. The record is from Rfam.